RNAcentral lists this long non-coding RNA (449 nucleotides) under Erythranthe guttata (spotted monkey flower). RNAcentral's name for it is "long non-coding RNA (EGUT_LNC003568)". Lineage: Eukaryota; Viridiplantae; Streptophyta; Magnoliopsida; Lamiales; Phrymaceae. The record is from RNAcentral.
CCAUUCAUCAAGAACGAAUAGCUAAAUGCAGCCAACACUUAGCUAUGGGUGCUUGGUUAUCAUUUGUACAUUUCCAAGAUAUAUAUGCUUAUGCAUCGUCGUAUUUGUGGCUGCCUUUUCGAGAAAAAAUGCAAUAGUUUUUUUUUUCUUCUUUUCUUAAUUCUUACUAGGAUAACUUCGACCCUUCAUGGGACGGACACCAUCUUUGCUGGUCUGUGGUUGCUUUUUUUUGUUCUGCGUCUGGAUUGAAUAGUGAAUACUAAAAGCUUAUAUUUGUAACAUUCGAAAUUGAAUAGAUCUUCGGUCAAGCUCAACUAUCUUGGAAACAAUGCUAGCAAACACACUUGACAUAUGCAGGGAUGGAUGGAUGCCUAUGAAUAUGAAUGAAUAUAUGCUCAAGGCAUCUCAAACCAACUGAAUGCACCUACAUUCAAUACAUAAAUUCACCA